RNAcentral lists this unclassified non-coding RNA (233 nucleotides) under plant metagenome. Its description in RNAcentral is "partial contains small subunit ribosomal RNA, internal transcribed spacer 1, and 5.8S ribosomal RNA". The record is from RNAcentral.
UUUCCGUAGGUGAACCUGCGGAAGGAUCAUUAUUGGAUUUUGAUACUUCAGGCUGCUGCUGGCUCUCCUCGGAGGGCAUGUGCACGCUUGUUGUCCAUUAUUUCUCCCACUGUGCACAAAUUGUAGACCUUUCAGUAGGCCUAUGUUGUUUUUCACAAUCUCUGAAUGUAAUAGAAUGGUUUUGAAUCUUGGGAAAUACAAUACAACUUUCAGCAACGGAUCUCUUGGCUCUC